CCUACGGGUGGCAGCAGUGGGGAAUAUUGGACAAUGGGGGGAACCCUGAUCCAGCCAUGCCGCGUGUGUGAAGAAGGCCCUCGGGUUGUAAAGCACUUUCAGUGAGGAAGAACGCCUGGUGGUUAAUACCCAUCAGGAAAGACAUCACUCACAGAAGAAGCACCGGCUAACUCCGUGCCAGCAGCCGCGGUAAUACGGAGGGUGCGAGCGUUAAUCGGAAUUACUGGGCGUAAAGCGCGCGUAGGUGGCUUGAUAAGCCGGUUGUGAAAGCCCCGGGCUCAACCUGGGAACGGCAUCCGGAACUGUCAAGCUAGAGUGCAGGAGAGGAAGGUAGAAUUCCCGGUGUAGCGGUGAAAUGCGUAGAGAUCGGGAGGAAUACCAGUGGCGAAGGCGGCCUUCUGGACUGACACUAACACUGAGGUGCGAAAGCGUGGGUAGCAAACAGGAUUAGAUACCCUGGUAGUC
Molecule: ribosomal RNA, 465 nt
Filed under: Vreelandella stevensii
Lineage: Bacteria; Pseudomonadati; Pseudomonadota; Gammaproteobacteria; Oceanospirillales; Halomonadaceae
Description: partial 16S ribosomal RNA
Rfam family: Bacterial small subunit ribosomal RNA
Source: RNAcentral